CGCCCGUCUGGUUUGGGCCACAGUUCUGGCCAUUGUCUCCGAUUGAUCUGCAGCACGUUUAAAAAUGCAGGGCCUCCGUGGUGGCCGCUGGCCCGGCCUUAUAUUCCCAACCCCCCCGUCACUGUCCGAGCCCGCGUAAUAACCGCCAGAUGUUCCCCAUCCACCGGCGUGCUGUUGGGCUGCUGCCAAUGCCCGCGGCUCCCCGCAUCGGGGGCGGAUUAGGAGUAAUCCCCCGCAAUUCCAGCAUCGGCCUUUGUCCCCGUGCACCGCGGUGGGACCUGCGCCUGGCCGGGCCGCUCGUUCACCAGAGAUCAAAGACACGAGGCUGAAGGUUCUGUGGUCGCCGUGGUGAUGGAAAGAAAUAACAAGAUGGCCCCAAGUCUGCGAUCCCCAGUCCCAGAUGGUUGCUGGCGUAUUCUCAACUCCAUCAUGGAGUCAUGGCCGGGGACGGCAUGCCCCAGACCCCAGAGCAUGCACCUUACACCCGGUGCCCCCCCCGUACACCCGGUGCCCCCCCGUACUACCAGCACUAAGUUACACAUCUCUCAGUUACAUCUCACAUCUACUAUAGGACUCCUAUAGUAGGCUCUUCUGGGUGCAGGUUUAGAGAGCUUACACUUGGUAAGUAACACUCAAAAAAUUACACUCAGUAAAUAACACUCGUUUAGUUAGAGUCCAGUCUGCCAGGUUUGUGACACUGAUCCUGGUAGUUUGUUUAAGCUUUAAAGUAGCUGCUUUUUGAUGUUUCACUAGAAUGAAUCAGACAUAUGAGUUUCUGUUUUAACUUGCAGGAAAUUAAAUUGAUGUGAGCCCUCUGUAUCUGUGCCUGCUGGCAGGCCUCUCUUCUUGGUCCAUCACACUCGCAUAUGCACACCUCUCACGUGGUGCUUGCUCCACGGAGCAUCAGUUUUCCCGGCAGUGGUAUCGGGCGACUCAUGCAGGAGGGGCGGCUACAGGAACGCAGCCCCCGAGCUCUCCGCUUUAAACAACCAUUCCCAUAAACCUUUGUGCCUCGUGCCUACAGGUAAAUCAAUAAAGGCCCAUCUCCCAUGUGCUAAUGAAUUGGGAUUUUUAAUGAAUCCCCCAUUUGCAUUUAAAAGUAACCAGGGAAAUUAGGAGGUUAUGUCUCUAUUUUUUAUUUAUUAUGUACAUAUGUGAGGUGGGAGGUGGGGGGGAUAAUUUGUGGGAAAUGUAAAUGUAAAACUUUAGGUAAAUAAAAAGAAAAAGGAGGGUAGCUUUGAUGUAUUCAUAGGGGUCAGGACAACAGUACCACUGCUCAGGUUUUAAUGAUAAGUGAAUCUGUCUGCUUGGUGAUGCCGGUGUGAUUCCGAUGUCUUUGUUUGAAGAUUCACGCUGGGAUCGUUGUCUGAUUCCACCGGCCGGCGGUCCAUAGACGUCACGUGGCAUGAUGGAGCGGAGCGCGCUUGUGGGGUCGACGCCAAGAGCCGAGCGGGGGGAUCCCGCAGGAUUCCCUUUCCCAGCCGGGCAAGACCCGUGAGUGCAGCACUCCGCCAUGUCACGUUAAUUAAGCAAUUACUUUAAUUAACACAUGAAUUAAUUCCGUCGCAUAGCCAGAUACCCAAAGCACCUUAAAUAACUCCCAGUCUCAUGAUUUAUGGCUCCAGUUCCGAUAUGGUUCAGUGACCUUCUCAAGGGGACAGUGCCCGGGACACUUUGGGGACACAGAUGGCUGCUAAUUUGGCACCGGUACCCCGCCCCGGUGUCCACACCAGCAGUGCUGUGCCUCUCAGCCUGUCACUGAACCAGUCACAGUGUCGGAUGCACAAUAAGAAGCCUUUAACCAUGUCCGCUAUUGGAACUUCAAGAGUCCUACCUUAUUGCGGUUAGUGUUUUUUCUCCAGGAAAUUAAAGGCCCACAAAAUGGGAAAGUUCAACCUGAUUUCCAGUAUUAGAUGUGGAGAGAACAGUUAGUAUGUCUCCUGGGAACGUAUUUGUGUCUUAUUCUGUGUUUUCUGUUUAUUUCACAUAAUGUGAUAUUUAGGUAUCCUAGCCUUUUGCUGCCUCUGCGACACGUUUCCUGAGUAAGUCACUCUGCUCCGGGCUUUCCGUCACGCUUCCGAGUGGGGAGUCAAAGGCUUCAGUUCAAACGCACCACUCACACCUUCCAGGAGUGUCUACAAAUCCCCUCCCCUCCCCCCUCAGUCAGCCGGUGCUCCAGGGAGACGGUUUCCAAAAUUAUUUCACCAAAAUGUUAUUACGUCAUUCUCUCGAAUGGCAGGUGUUCAAUUCCAAACAGUCGCUUCAGAAACAAAUAUGGUUAAACGUUAAUGGAGCAAUUUUAAAAGGCUUAAUGUACGCCGGACGAUGAUUUAUUUAUUUACAGAAUUUAUACAGUGACCGUCAUUGACCGGCUUGACGGGUUUAAUUAAAAUCCCACGUCUUGUUUUCUCACGUGAGUCGUGGCUGCAGCAGAGAGGCGGAGUAGCCUGCAGCUACGCUAAACCACACAUCAGGGAAAAUCACUUGUUUACUCUGUCCGAACUAUGCAGCGUCGCCUCGGGGACACAGCUGGCUUGACGUUCGUCCUCCACCUUUGGCUAAGCGAUGAAUGGAUAACAUCGCCUCUCUCUGCUGUCACCUCUCAAAUUAUUUAUCUGCCCCCCCCCUUGAAAGCUGUGCGGGACACGCAAACUGCAUUAUCUGUUUUUAUUACCAAGGAGCUUAUCUGUCUGUACUUACUUGGGGAGUGGGAGCUAGCUUUAAAGCCAGGAAUGAAUUCCUUGUAUGGUCAAGGUAAAGUAAGGAACGAGGAGAACAAGACGGGAAAUGGCUCUUUCUGUACUCCAGCCUCUGAUACAGGACAGGAUAUGUCUCUCUCUCUCUACCUUGGCCUUUACUACAGGACAGGAUAUGUCUCUCUCUCUCUACCUUGGCCUUUACUACAGGACAGGAAAUGUCUCUCUGUCUACUUUUGCCUCUAAUACAGGACAGGAAUUUUUUCUCUCUCUAUUUUAGCCUCUAAUACAGGACAGGAAAUGUCUGUCUACUUUAGCCUCUAAUACAGGACAGGAAAUUUUUCUCUCUCUACUUUAGCCACUAAUACAGGACAGGACAUGUCUCUCUCUCUGCUGUGGCCUGUAAUACAGGACAGGAAAUGGCUCUCUCUUCACAGCAGCCUUUAGCACAGCAGAGGAAAUAGCCUUCUCUGUACUCCGGCCUCUAAUACAGGACAGGAAAUAGCUCUCUCACCAUCCUGGCCUCUGGUACAGAACAGGAAACUCCAGCAAUCUUACACUGCAACGAUGGCCGGACAGGAACAUAGUCUGUGUGCAUUUGUGCUUACGGAACAUGCUGUACCGAGGGCAUGCUGUAUUCCGUGUGGUAUGUAAAGCCCGAUUUAGAAUUCAGGAGGGAGUCAGGCGCAGGACACGAUGUCAGCAUCAUGCAGCCGUUAACUCAAAGCCACACAACAUGCUCUCUUACACAGUUCUGGGGUGUUGAGCCAUGCACGGGAGUUUGGGGACGUCGGUGAGAGUGUAAUGGAGUGCAGGCUCUCCACGUUCACUCACCUUAAUCACCCAUGAUGUCAUAACACAUCAGUUUUUUUCAGUAAUGAUCGAGGUGGGCAAUUAAUUAUCCAGUUGCUGUCCUGGGGAGUGACUGGAUGACCUUGUUUAUUUUCAUAUUUCCUGAAUUAUAAGUUAUGUAUUAAUAUCUUGCUGUAGAACCACCUUCAUUUCUACUUGUCAGGGUUUGCAAUGUCCUUUUUUACAUUUUAUUUAUUGAUUUAUUUUUUAAAUACUCUUACUAUAUUUGUAUGUGUGAAGUUCUGGGUGUCUAAUGUAGUAUUUUAAAUACUUUGACUUUUUGUCUCUAACCACCAUGCCACCUGCUGGCCUAAUUUGUUACUACUGAGAAUUGAAUUAACUGCAAUGUAUAUCAUCUGUCUAUCUCUUUGUGAGAGAACAUGAGAAACAGGUAUAGCAAUGUGUGGAAGCAGCAGCUGAAGGAGCGGGGAGUCAGGACACAGACUGUCCCCCAGACUGGCAGGCACGCCGUGGUGACACCUCCAGGUGGGACAUGUCAUCGCAUCACCCGCAUCAGCCUGUCAAAGCCAGGCGGCAUGAAGUCACAGGUGAUGCAAGCAGAGCCCCCCCCCCUUCGCCAGAGUCAGAGGGAGAGCAGCUGGUCCAGGUGCCGCCGAGACUGAUGGUUCCAGGACCGGGAUUAGUGUGACGGACACUGUUUAAAAGUGAAAAAUACAUGAAUAUGUGAAAGGCCAGCCUGGCGAGAGCUCUAUGCCGGCCCGGCGUCCAGGGCGUACCCCUCCCGGCGGCCCAGGCGUUUGGGGACGGGGGCUGAACGGGACGAGAGUGCAGCAGAGAACGGACGGCUGGAUCGACUUGGGAGCGAGGGGCCGUGAAGCCUGGAGCUUAUCCCAGGCAGAGUUGGAGGCGCCGCUGUGGAGCACCCUGCAUGGGACGGCACGCAUCGACAGGCUCAGGCAACGGACACGUCUGAUGCCCGUUCGCCCAACUGCGUGACUCCUGAGCUUGGAGAGAAGCUGGCGUUCUGGGAAGGAGCGUGCAUGAUAUUCAGGCAGGAUCUGAGCGGCCUGUUUAUCGCCUGACCUUUCUCAGUGCCUGUAAACACCAGAACUGCCAGCUUAUUACCAAUGGGGUGGAUGAAGAGGCCAUUGAAGGCAGAGCUGUGGAUCGUGACAGUCCUACAAAAGCAAAGCAAGGCGCCGGCAUGAGCUGCACCCAGGGCUGCUCAAAGUUCAUG
Paramormyrops kingsleyae is the source of this 4746-nucleotide long non-coding RNA. RefSeq lists it as uncharacterized. NCBI's taxonomy places the organism in Eukaryota, Metazoa, Chordata, Actinopteri, Osteoglossiformes, Mormyridae. The record is from RefSeq and is a predicted model, not a curated record.